CGAACGCUGGCGGCAGGCCUAACACAUGCAAGUCGAACGCAUGCCUUCGGGCAUGAGUGGCGCACGGGUGAGUAACGCGUGGGAACCGACCCUGGGGUUGGGGAUAACCGCUGGAAACGGCGGCUAAUACCCAAUACGCCUUGAGGGGGAAAGAUUUAUCGCCCUGGGACGGGCCCGCGUUGGAUUAGGUAGUUGGUGGGGUAACGGCCUACCAAGCCUACGAUCCAUAGCUGGUUUGAGAGGAUGAUCAGCCACACUGGGACUGAGACACGGCCCAGACUCCUACGGGAGGCAGCAGUGGGGAAUAUUGGACAAUGGGGGCAACCCUGAUCCAGCCAUGCCGCGUGAGUGAAGAAGGCCUUAGGGUUGUAAAGCUCUUUCAGUGGUGAAGAUGAUGACGGUAGCCACAGAAGAAGCCCCGGCUAACUCCGUGCCAGCAGCCGCGGUAAUACGGAGGGGGCAAGCGUUGUUCGGAAUUACUGGGCGUAAAGGGCGCGUAGGCGGGAUAUUCAAGUCAGAGGUGAAACGCCCUGGGCUCAACCUGGGAAUGGCCUUUGAAACUGGGAUGUCUGGAGUUCGGGAGAGGUGAGCGGAAUACCCAGUGUAGAGG
RNAcentral lists this ribosomal RNA (610 nucleotides) under alpha proteobacterium OG10. Its description in RNAcentral is "bacterial SSU rRNA". It matches the Rfam family "Bacterial small subunit ribosomal RNA", at positions 30 to 681 of the family's 1533-position model. The record is from RNAcentral. Lineage: Bacteria; Pseudomonadati; Pseudomonadota; Alphaproteobacteria.